Molecule: transfer RNA, 73 nt
Filed under: Candidatus Nomurabacteria bacterium CG1_02_47_685
Lineage: Bacteria; Candidatus Nomuraibacteriota
Also listed under: 7 other names
Description: tRNA-Thr
Rfam family: tRNA
About the family: Transfer RNA (tRNA) molecules are approximately 80 nucleotides in length.
Source: RNAcentral
GCCAGCAUAGCUCAGUUGGUAGAGCAGGGCUUUUGUAAAGCUCAGGUCGUGGGUUCGAGUCCCUCUGCUGGCU